RNAcentral lists this ribosomal RNA (420 nucleotides) under uncultured bacterium. Its description in RNAcentral is "bacterial SSU rRNA". It matches the Rfam family "Bacterial small subunit ribosomal RNA", at positions 508 to 925 of the family's 1533-position model. The record is from RNAcentral.
UCAGCCGCCCGCGGUAAUACGGGGGAUGCAAGCGUUAUCCGGAAUGAUUGGGCGUAAAGAGUCCGUAGGUAGUCAUCCAAGUCUGCUGUUAAAGAGCGAGGCUUAACCUCGUAAAGGCAGUGGAAACUGGAAGACUAGAGUGUAGUAGGGGCAGAGGGAAUUCCUGGUGUAGCGGUGAAAUGCGUAGAGAUCAGGAAGAACACCGGUGGCGAAGGCGCUCUGCUGGGCUAUAACUGACACUGAGGGACGAAAGCUAGGGGAGCGAAUGGGAUUAGAUACCCCAGUAGUCCUAGCGGUAAACGAUGGAAACUAGGUGUGGCCUGUAUCGACCCGGGCCGUGCCGAAGCAAACGCGUUAAGUUUCCCGCCUGGGGAGUACGCACGCAAGUGUGAAACUCAAAGGAAUUGGCGGGGGAGCACA